Molecule: non-coding RNA, 24 nt
Filed under: Arabidopsis thaliana (thale cress)
Lineage: Eukaryota; Viridiplantae; Streptophyta; Magnoliopsida; Brassicales; Brassicaceae
Source: RNAcentral
AGGCUCUUUAGGGUCUCUCAAGCC